UCUCCGUAGGUGAACCUGCGGAAGGAUCAUUAUCGGAUUUUGAAACUUCAGGCUGCUGCUGGCUCUCCUCGGAGGGCAUGUGCACGCUUGUUGUCCAUUAUUUCUCCCACUGUGCACAAAUUGUAGACCUUUCAGUAGGCCUAUGUUGUUUUUCACAAUCUCUGAAUGUAAUAGAAUGGUUUUGAAUCUUGGGAAAUACAAUACAACUUUCAGCAACGGAUCUCUUGGCUCUC
RNAcentral lists this unclassified non-coding RNA (233 nucleotides) under plant metagenome. RNAcentral's name for it is "partial contains small subunit ribosomal RNA, internal transcribed spacer 1, and 5.8S ribosomal RNA". The record is from RNAcentral.